GAUGAACGCUGGCGGCGUGCCUAAUACAUGCAAGUCGAGCGAACGGACGAGAAGCUUGCUUCUCUGAUGUUAGCGGCAGACGGGUGAGUAACACGUGGAUAACCUACCUAUAAGACUGGGAUAACUUCGGGAAACCGGAGCUAAUACCGGAUAAUAUUUUGAACCGCAUGGUUCAAAAGUGAAAGACGGUCUUGCUGUCACUUAUAGAUGGAUCCGCGCUGCAUUAGCUAGUUGGUAAGGUAACGGCUUACCAAGGCAACGAUGCAUAGCCGACCUGAGAGGGUGAUCGGCCACGCUGGAACUGAGACACGGUCCAGACUCCUACGGGAGGCAGCAGUAGGGAAUCUUCCGCAAUGGGCGAAAGCCUGACGGAGCAACGCCGCGUGAGUGAUGAAGGUCUUCGGAUCGUAAAACUCUGUUAUUAGGGAAGAACAUAUGUGUAAGUAACUGUGCACAUCUUGACGGUACCUAAUCAGAAAGCCACGGCUAACUACGUG
Molecule: ribosomal RNA, 497 nt
Filed under: uncultured bacterium
Lineage: Bacteria
Description: partial 16S ribosomal RNA
Rfam family: Bacterial small subunit ribosomal RNA
Source: RNAcentral